AGUCUUGUUGACUUAUUUCCAUGCCCCUGUAUCACCUGAUCCUAACGUACAGUAUCUUCCGCCAUGGACCGUCUUUCAAGCUCGUUGAGAGUCCAUUACCACCACUUGUACUCUCCGUUUUCUAUUUAUCUCUACCUCUCUCUGGUGAUUGCUAACCAAUCCUCCCAUCACCUUUAUUUGACACAGAAUAUAUGUGCAAGCAUGCACGCGAGCGAGCACACACACAGAGAGCAAAAAUAUGCUACAGAAUAAGUUGGACACACUCUUACAAGUAAAAUAUGCUACAGUAUUGUGAACAACUGAACAUUGUUGCAGUACAAUACUUUACAUUAGUGUGAACUGUAAUCCCAACUUUGAGAAAAAAGGAAGAAACCAACAAAGAAAAGAAAGACUCCGGCGUCAAGCAACAUGUACAGAAUGUUUUUUUUAUAGAAAAUGCCCAUUGGGCGGGGUAUUAGUGGGAAUAUCUGAAAAGUUUGUUUAGUAAUGUUACUUGUUAAAGAGGUGAAGCGUAUGGGAAAAAUGAAGAUGACUAAAAUUUGAUGUGAUUUAAAUUUUUAACUAUUUGGUGUUAAGAGAAUUGGCAUGGAGAGCUAUGAUUCUCUAUUUUAUGUUCGUUAAUAUGAUUAACAUUAGUGUUCGGAGUGAAGAGUUCCUGAUGCCAGCAAGGUUUGGGAACUUUCAUGUUCUUAAAGCUGUUACACCCAUGCUGUAGGAAUAAUUAAUGGGGUAAACUUAUCAUGUUGUUCUUACAAGUAUUUUUUUUCUGUCGUUCAAGAAAUCGUUGAUUUCAUGUGUGCAAGAAGAAUGUAACACGGUAGCUAGGGGAGGGGUAAAUAACUUGAAUUAAGUUACUGAUCUUAUUUAUGAAGUUAAAAGUUUUUAUUUGUUAUGUGGUAUAGAGGUGUCUGUUUUUUUCACAUAAAGUAUUCUGGUUUUUGGAGCUGGGAUCCACAUCCGCAUUUGAUCGUGGCUGAUUCGAUUGCAAAUGCAAAACUGGUUGUUCUUCCGUACUACUGAUAUUCAAAGUUGGAAAGCAAAAACAAUAAUCCUGUGGUAAGUAUGGCACCUAUUGUCCAGCUGGUAUAGCACCUAUUGUCCAGCUGGUUUAGCACUCAACAAUAAACUGGUAAUCUUCCUUGGACAACUGCAUCAAUCUGAUUCUGUUCUCUUUGAUAUCUUUUGUGCAAUUUACUUGAAUCAUAUUCACAACUGUCUUUGCUCACAUUUUUUAGACGUACGUGUGUCCUUUAACAACUAUGUUUUAAUGUACAUGAACAGAUAGUCCCCAUCAAAAAGCAAUCAGCAUUAGCCCCAACAAUCAGGAACAAAGGAUGCUUCUGUACUUGGAACAGAACCAGAGAUUUCAGCUUGCAGUGAAGUUAAAGAUUAAUUAGCAUCGAAAUUUCUUAAUCUUUUUUUUUAAAUGGAAUGCAAGUUAUCAAAGAUUAAUGAUAGUUGUGUAUACAUUCCAUAAAUAAUGAUCAUAAGCUUCCCCA
This is a long non-coding RNA of Hibiscus syriacus, 1499 nucleotides long. RefSeq lists it as uncharacterized. The record is from RefSeq and is a predicted model, not a curated record. The transcript has 2 exons. NCBI's taxonomy places the organism in Eukaryota, Viridiplantae, Streptophyta, Magnoliopsida, Malvales, Malvaceae.